AAAUAAUCUACCAAUAAAUACUAGACAGAGAUUCUGCUAACUACUAAAUAUUUUUUUAGAAUCAGGAAAACACCAUAACUUUACAAAGUUUUAACAUCAGCUACAAACAAAUGACCAAUAUGUUUUUCCCAAAUCCCCUUUCCUGUGUUGGGCAUUUGGUACAGUCCAGGCCUAAUGGCAGGUAUUUAAGCCUGCUGCUGCCUCAGCCCAGUCUUUUUGUCAGGACCACCCCCAUCCAUGGACCAGGAACACGCUACACACGUGGACAAAGACAACUAAAUGAAAGCAAAAGACCACUGCCUAACCAAUUCCACUGCUGGUGGCAGCUUAGGCUGUCACAUGGUGAAGACCAGGGCUGAGGCCUUCACAGGCUGGAUGUGUGGGCCUGCUUUCUCGUAGCCCCUCUAUGUUCCUGUCAGCCUGACAAAUAUACCAGCAAUCAGGCCUUAUAAACAGAAGAGGAAAAAAAAUCACAUCUUCAUCUGAGAAACAGCUGCAUGCAUGGCUUCUCUCUGAAAUACUUUUCAAACUUUAACAUUUUCCA
Monopterus albus (swamp eel) is the source of this 544-nucleotide long non-coding RNA. RefSeq lists it as uncharacterized. The record is from RefSeq and is a predicted model, not a curated record. The transcript is spliced from 3 exons. NCBI's taxonomy places the organism in Eukaryota, Metazoa, Chordata, Actinopteri, Synbranchiformes, Synbranchidae.